UAAUCUCACUUCAACCACUUUUGUGAUGUUGAAUGUGGACUUGGAUGUUGCCGUGUCCAACGGCUCAUCUGAAAUGCUUGAGUGUACCCUGCUUUGCAGCGUAUCAGUGUGAUAAACAUCUUCACUGUUAAGUCUCUAGGGACACGCUAGUGUUGCAGGCUCUAUGCUUCCAACCGUCUCAGGACAAUCUCUGACA
RNAcentral lists this unclassified non-coding RNA (196 nucleotides) under uncultured Serendipita. Its description in RNAcentral is "partial internal transcribed spacer 2". Lineage: Eukaryota; Fungi; Basidiomycota; Agaricomycetes; Sebacinales. The record is from RNAcentral.